Molecule: ribosomal RNA, 460 nt
Filed under: uncultured bacterium
Lineage: Bacteria
Description: partial 16S ribosomal RNA
Rfam family: Bacterial small subunit ribosomal RNA
Source: RNAcentral
CCUACGGGUGGCAGCAGUGAGGAAUAUUGGUCAAUGGGCGCUAGCCUGAACCAGCCAAGCAGCGUGAAGGAUGACUGCCCUAUGGGUUGUAAACUUCUUUUAUAUGGGAAUAAAGUCCAGUAUGUAUACUGCUUUGCAUGUACCUUAUGAAUAAGGAUCGGCUAACUCCGUGCCAGCAGCCGCGGUAAUACGGAGGAUCCGAGCGUUAUCCGGAUUUAUUGGGUUUAAAGGGAGUGUAGGCGGGUUGUUAAGUCAGUGGUGAAAGGUUGUGGCUCAACCGUGAAAUUGCAGUUGAUACUGGCAUCCUGGAGUAGAGUAGAGGUAGGCGGAAUUCGUGGUGUAGCGGUGAAAUGCUUAGAUAUCACGCAGAACUCCGAUUGCGAAGGCAGCCUGCUGGACUGUAACUGACGCUGAUGCUCGAAAGUGUGGGUAUCAAACAGGAUUAGAUACCCGUGUAGUC